This is a long non-coding RNA of Drosophila elegans, 242 nucleotides long. RefSeq lists it as uncharacterized. The record is from RefSeq and is a predicted model, not a curated record. The transcript is spliced from 2 exons. NCBI's taxonomy places the organism in Eukaryota, Metazoa, Arthropoda, Insecta, Diptera, Drosophilidae.
UGUUUCUCCACCUCUAGGUUUUAUAUCGACGUUUCGCCACCUCUAUCGUGGAAACCUUUGCGUGAUUCGCCAUACGAAAUUACUCAAGGAAAGGAUUUCCCGCGAAAACGUAAGGCAAUACCCAGUGUGACGUAACCGAAACGGAGAGACUAAUCCCAGGUGUUACCACGCAGGACUUGUCACUUACAACCAGGAGUAAACCAGACACUCGGACUCCAGGACUCCGACCGGAAGAAACAACA